RNAcentral lists this long non-coding RNA (496 nucleotides) under Mytilus galloprovincialis (Mediterranean mussel). The record is from RNAcentral. Lineage: Eukaryota; Metazoa; Mollusca; Bivalvia; Mytilida; Mytilidae.
CUACGAUAGUAGAGGGGCAUUAUGUUUUCUGGUCUGUGCCUCCGUUGGUUCGUCCGUCUGUGCGUCCGUUCGCUUCAGGUUAAAGUUUUUGGUCAAGGUAGUUUUUGAAGAAGUUGAAGUCCAAUCAACUUGAAACUUAGUACACAUGUUCCCUAUGAUAUGAUCUUUCUAAUUCUAAUGCCAAAUUCUAGUUUUGACCCCAAUUUCAUGGUCCACUGAACAUAGAAAAUGAUAGUGCGAAGUUCAGGUUAAAGUUUUUGGUCAAGGUAGUUUUUGAUGAAGUUAAAGUUACAUCAACUUGAAACUUAGUACACAUGUUCCCUAUGAGGCCACAAUUAAAAAUAUUUCAGUUUGCCCAAACCCGACCCAUGAUGACUUGGUGUGGGUAGGUAGGUAGGCAAAUUCGUUUUUUUUUCCCUUCAGAAUUUGCAUGAAAAUAUUAAAAGAUCUUAAAACAGUACAUCUGUUUUUUUCGUCAAACCUUUGUAGAGUCAAC